GCAAUCGGCGAUGGUGUUCCUGCAGCGCAGCAACCCGCGAAAGCGGCCACCACCGGCGCCCACAGCACCCGGGCCGCCGCCGCCGCCGCCGUCGUUAGCGACAUCGUCCGCGCCCACCCCGGCCGAACCCUCCGUCGUCGACGCGGCGGCCGCGCUCCUUGCGGACGCCGGCUGCACGCUCCUCGUCCCGCCGCACCUGCCCCCUUCCCUCCCGUCGGCCCCCACCUUCGUACCCCGCCUCACCCGCGCGCUCGCCGCGGACCCCGUGGCAGACCUCCCCGCGCGCCUCCUCGCGGGGCUCGCCGCCUUCGCCGAGUCCCCCACGCGGCUGCGCCAGCUACUCCUGCCCACCUCCCCGCGGUCGCAGAGCCUGGCGCGGGUUCUCCUCUCCGUCCCCGCGCUCCAGCCCGGUCUCCUGGGGCUCCUCCUCGACAAGCUGCCCGAGCACUUCGACGACGACGCGCUCGAUGGGGUGCCUCUGCAGGACGACGUGGGGAGGCUUAUCGUUGCUCAGUUCCGCUGGCUUGAUUUCCUUGUCGAUGCCGACACCUUUGUCACCAAGCUCGUGGAGGUGCUGUCGGUAGCACCACCCCGGCUCAAGAAGGAGAUCAUCGGUUCGAUCCCGGAGAUUGUGGGCGACCAGAGCCAUGCUGCUGUGGUCUCCGCUCUGGAGAAGUUGCUGCAGGAGGACUCCCAAGUCGUGGUUGCUGUGCUCGACACUUUGUCAAACCUUAACCUCGACGCGCUGUUGCAGGAGCAGGCGGUUACAGUUGCAAUAUCAUGCAUCCGGACGAUUCAUGCAGAUCAGAUGCCACACUUACUCAGGUUCUUGUUGCUGUCUGCCACACCAGCCAAUGUUGGCAGGAUUAUAUCGCAGAUCCGCGAGCAACUGAAGUUUGUUGGUGUGGUGGAUCCACGUGCUGCUCGGAGCAAGAAGCUGAAAGGGAAGGCAUCAGCAACUAACACUGAUGGGGCAAUCCUUGAUGCCUUGAGAUCAGGCCUCCGGUUUAAGAAUAUGCUUUGUGAGGCCUUCUUGAAGGAGUUGAAAUUAGUUGACCAUGCAAGGGAUCACAAAGUGAUUGAUGUUUGGCUCAUCAUGCUCAUAUAUGCCAAUGGGGGUGCUCUGCAGAAAAGUGCUGAGAAAAUACUGAAAUCCAAGAUCUUACAAGGAUAUAUCCGGGAGACAUUGUUUCACCAAUGCAUUCAUGGAAAUACUGAAUUAGUAAAGCUCGUAGGCUCAUUGAUAACUCAUAUAGGUUCUGGGGUCAGUUACGAAGUUUCUUCUGCUUUGGAUAUUAUGAUUUCUUUGACAUCCAACAACUCUGAGGAACUCAUCCCUAUAGCUUCACAUAUAACUGGUAUUUUAGAUUAUCUGGAGAGUUUUCAUGAAGAUAAUCUUCGAAAGGUUUACGAGAUCUUCUGUCAAUUGGCACUGGCUGCUGGCUUCAAUACUAGUUCAGGUGGCUCUUCUGUUGCUAAUGAACUUCUUAUGGUAGUGAGAAAACAGGUUAGCAAUCCAGAUAUGAAGUAUAAGAGAAUGGGAAUAAUUGGGGCUUUAAGGAUAGUUUCAGCUAUUGCAGAUGCAAAUGCUGCUGUGAACUACUCAUCAUCUCAGCAACCAAAUUGUGAGGAGGCCCUGGGACUGCUAAAUAUGACUGUUAACUCCUGCAAAUUUGUGACGUUGCCCUUAAUUCUUCUCUAUGAUGAAUUAUCUGCUUUAUUUGAGAGCAAUGUUCUUCAUUCUGCAAUUAUUGAGUGGGUUGGAGAACAUGUUGCAGAAUUUGAUACCCUUUUUCUUGCUGAUCUUGAGGAUGGCCAGCUAUCAGAAAAAUAUCUCUGCGAGAGCAUUGAAGGGGAAUUAUGGAUGAACUUGGAUGGAAAUAUCUCCCCAGUAUGCGUAAAUAUUUUGCCACUAGUGUCCACCUCGCAACAAAGGUCUCAAGCCUGCUUGCAGAUCCUUCCUUCCCAAUUUCUACUUCUAACUACCAUUGAACGUUCAGGAAGUGAAGGCUCACUUGGUGGAAUAAAUGCACUCCUUGGCUGUCCUUUGCAUCUUCCCUCUACAAAGAACCUGGAUGAAUCUAGAUGGGGAAGCUUGUCAGCACUGGAGAAAAAAACAGUGUGUCACUCACUGUACUUUGCGAUAAACUGGAUUAGGGAGUUGCUUAAUGCUUUCAGCACACAAGUUGCGGCCAGAGUUGAUAAUGUGUCACAAAGAGUAAGGGAUGAGACAGCAGUUAAACUUUUGAAGCGUCUGAGAAAUCUAAUAUUACUCGAGAUUUUGUUAAACACCGUUCUUAAAAUUUAUCCUCUAUCUCUACCUGAGCUGCGAUAUCUUGGGAAUUAUUCUGGGUCAACUAGCAGCAGCAAGUUCAACACUGGGAAGAAAAUGGGGGAAGACAACAUGGAGGGCCCAUCUUCCAACAAAAGACAAAAGGGCCGCAAGGACAAAGCAGCUUCAGAUAAAUUGAAUUCUGAUGAGAAGCUCAAACAAUCUACGAUACUGGAUGCUUUUAAAAGAGCAGGUGUAACGAUCACCCAAGAAACAAAGAAAGCAUCUUCACGACCAUUGCCAAGUGGAAUGACGUCGAAGGAUGUUGAAAGCGAGGCUAAUAAUCCUGGUGAGCUUGGGCAUAUAGAUUUGAUGGCAGCACCAGUUCAGCUGGAUAUGCAAAGAUUUAAAUUCAGAACACUCCAUGUGAAUUGUUUAUCCUUAUUAAAGUAUUCAGAGUUUCAAGAUUCAACUUAUCCAUAUCAUGAAUCUGAGCUGCCUUUAUAUCUCUAUCUUCUACGUGAUCUAAACAACAAACUAGAUCAUGUAAACCCAUCAAGCAAGCCAUUUUUUAAUAAUUCUCAAGCAAAAUCCACUCGCGCUCAUUGCCAAAAGAGCACAGAAGAUCUUCUUAGCAAAAUCCAGCCACUAUUCUCGAGUCUACGGAAGCAUCUAGAUGGAUCAGUUUCAAUGAUGAAAGACAGAUCAGAUAGCAGCCCAGACAACUGGAGUUCACAUUCGGAUUCAGCAGGAAACCCGCACAUACCAUACGUGAUGGUCUCCAAGUCUUCAAUAGCCACUUCCGUAUUUAAGGAGGUUCUUGGCUGCUACAGGAAGCUACUUGGCACGCCAGAUCUAUUGAAUCAAGCAAAUAUGUCAGCUCUGAAGGAGCUGCUACAGACUUUCCAGCCAACUGAAAAUUUCGAUGAUGAUCUUUCUGAGUUCCGUCCACCUCUGGUCCCUAGUAAUGUUGAUUAUCUGUACUGUGGGGCAUUUAAAAUGUUUGAGGCUAUUAUGGAUGCAGUGUGUUUGUUCUCACACAUUUUGGCCUCUGACGUGCUAAUUACCAUGCAAUCUAUUUUAAAUUCCAUUAUCGUGCUGUUGGAAAAAUCUGGGGAAUCAAAUGGGAAGAAUAUGCAUGUAGGAUGCUCCAAAGAGAUUGUUCCCUUGGUAAAGAAGCAGCUUGGGUUAUCAGCUCAUAAGCUGCUAACUUCUGAUUUCCCUAAUGAAGAUACUGAAAAUGGAUGGCAGAGUAAAGGUGAUCUUAUACCAAGGAUAUUACAAAUAUACCUCAGGAAUAGUGAGUCGACUUCAGUUCUGCUUGAUGAGCUGGCUUGCUUGGUGUUGCCUCAGGUAGCUUCGCUCAAAAGUAAAAGUACCACCCAAGAACUGUCGCAUGGGUUUCCAACAUUGUGUUCUUCCACUUUCCACUCGUGGUACCGUGUGCUGCAUGAGGAGAAUCUUGGGAAUUUUAACAAGAUGAUCAAGCAAGCCUUGAAGACUACAUCACAAUCAGGAGUAGCAGUGGAAAAUGUUAUGGAUGAAAUUGUCAAAUCAGUAAACGUGUUUGUGUCUCUGACAAAUAUAUGUAAGAUUCACGAGAAGGUUGCUAUGCAUGCAAUGGCAGUUAAAUAUGGGGGGCGAUUCAUUGAUUCAUUUCUUAAAGCCUUCAACUUUCUGGAGACGCAGUUUGGGCAACGUGGCGACGAUAUAGUUCAAAUGAUAAAAGAACUUCAGAAAGCGACAAGAAUAAUCCAAACUAUAUGUGCAGAGGCAAAGGGUUACAAGCGAACAAUGAUCACGAGCAAGAUACCUGCCACAAAGAGAUCCAUGGAGCGGUUUCUCUUCCAAGUGAAGGCCCUCCUGGAACACUGCUCUAAUGUGGAGCGUUGCUGGAUUGGUAAUCUGAAGCACAAGGAUUUGCAUGGGCAUGUGGUAAGCUCUCAGGUGUAUGGCGACGUGGAUGACGGCCCAAAUGAUGCAGAACAAGAACAGAUGGAGACUGAUCCUGAAACUCCAGCCGACGAAAAUGAACAUCGUGGAUGAUGAUGAGACAGAAAACGAGGCAACACCAUUGGAGGAUUGACCUCACACACGGUACCAAUCUCGAAAUGUCUCCAAUGUAAUCAUAUAUAUUGUCCCACAGAUUUUACUCUUGACAUGUAUGUACAGUACAUUGCAAUGCACACCGUGCUCCCACGACAUACUGAAAUGCCAAUUCAGAAAUGUAAAUCAGGGUAUCAUCUGCUUUGCAUAGAAAGCUGGAAGUCUCAAUCAGGAAUUCAGGACCGCAUACACAGGGCAUCCUAUAUACAGAUCACCACCAUAUCUCAUUUCAUAACAUGUUAUAACAUAAAGCAAGUUCUUGUCACAUCAUAACAAAAGCCACAAGAACCAAACACGCAAACUCAUAGAUAGACAAACAUGGCUGGAGUAAGGAUGAAAGGGAAGCCUAGCAUUGGUGCACUGACGACGCUGAGAGCAAGAAACGCAUCAGAUGGCCUUGGCUGGCGCCGCGGCGGAGGCGGAGAGGUCGGCGAGUAGCGGCUCGCUAGUGGGUGGCGCGGUGGAGUUGGCUGCGGGGUAGUCGUCGGGGUCGUAGUUGGGGUCGAGGGCACGGUCCAUGGCGCGGCGGCCGGUCUCGAGGCAGGGCUUGCAGGCCAUCUCGAUGGUGAUCCAGCCCAGCACCACCGCCGCGAUCGCGAUCACCGCGGUCACCACCGCCCCCAUCGGAUCACAACCCUCCCUUGUGCGACUCGCUGGCCAAACGCGGAUCUGGAGGUUGAAGAUGACUGACUGGUUACGACAGUUAUUAGCCGGCUUGGUUGUCGGACUGGACGAGGAUUCUGCCGGCUCGCCGAAGCUUGUGCGGAUGGGCUCGCUCGUCUGGA
Molecule: ribosomal RNA, 5163 nt
Filed under: Triticum aestivum (bread wheat)
Lineage: Eukaryota; Viridiplantae; Streptophyta; Magnoliopsida; Poales; Poaceae
Description: partial small subunit ribosomal RNA
Source: RNAcentral